This 562-nucleotide long non-coding RNA is filed under the name Salvator merianae (Argentine black and white tegu). RNAcentral describes it as "lncRNA (ENSSMRG00000023373.1)". Lineage: Eukaryota; Metazoa; Chordata; Lepidosauria; Squamata; Teiidae. The record is from RNAcentral.
CCGCCCUCUGGCCGCAUACUGGAUGAUGGUGAUGAGGGAGAGAAGGCUGAUCUGUUGUUUGCUGGCUUAACCCUUUGCAGGUUAUGGGAAAGGAGAAAGAUGGAUUCUUUGUUUUGUGGGGUUUAGGUGUUGAAACGGGAGCACUGUCGGUGUGUACUUGAGCAGAUACCAAGUUUUAUGGAAGAAAGAGAAAUUCUUCAUCUGACUCUGACUCCUGUUCUGGAACAACUUGCAAGCCUCUCAGUCUUACUUUCAUCAGCUCUGUUUUCCCUCACAAACCUAUCUUUUGUUUUGUGAAAAACAGGAAUGAGGAAGUGUUCCAGGCCAGGAGGAGCCAUCUCUGUGAUGUGCAGUUUGGUGUGCUUGCAGAUCUUGCUGUUAUCGGGGAGAGAACCUUUGUUCAGCAGACCUGUACUUGGUUCAGGCAAAUCCAACCGAAGAUUUCAGCUGCACUGUUGCCUUGCCUCCCUGAGUUUGCAGUUCCAUCCACACUGCUAUGGUAUACAAUAAUAAAUAAAAAUAGAUAGGUGGGUUACUUCUCUAGCUUACAGGAGCCUUCUUC